UCGGCUUAGAGUUUGAUCAUGGCUCAGAUUGAACGCUGGCGGCAGGCUUAACACAUGCAAGUCGAACGGUAAAGUAGCUUGCUACUUACGAGUGGCGGACGGGUGAGUAACGUAUGGGAAUUUACCGAAUGGAGGGGGACAACAGUUGGAAACGGCUGCUAAUACCGCAUAACGUCGAGAGACCAAAGGGUUUCGACUUGCCAUUUGAUGAGCCCAUAUGAGAUUAGCUAGUUGGUGUGGUAAUGGCUCACCAAGGCGACGAUCUCUAGCUGGUUCGAGAGGAUGACCAGCCACACUGGGACUGAGACACGGCCCAGGCUCCUACGGGAGGCAGCAGUGGGGAAUAUUGCACAAUGGGGGGAACCCUGAUGCAGCCAUGCCGCGUGUAUGAAGAAGGCCUUAGGGUUGUAAAGUACUUUCGUGGAGGAGGAAGGGUUUACGUAAUCGUGGACAUUGACGUUACUCCAAGAAGAGGCACCGGCUAACUCCGUGCCAGCAGCCGCGGUAAUACGGAGGGUGCGAGCGUUAAUCGGAUGACUGGGCGUAAAGGGCAUGUAGGCGGAUGAUUAAGUUAGAUGUGAAAUCCCUGGGCCUAACCUAGGAUUUGCAUUUAAAACUGGUUU
RNAcentral lists this ribosomal RNA (623 nucleotides) under uncultured Enterobacteriaceae bacterium. RNAcentral's name for it is "bacterial SSU rRNA". It matches the Rfam family "Bacterial small subunit ribosomal RNA", at positions 1 to 639 of the family's 1533-position model. Lineage: Bacteria; Pseudomonadati; Pseudomonadota; Gammaproteobacteria; Enterobacterales; Enterobacteriaceae. The record is from RNAcentral.